This 230-nucleotide non-coding RNA is filed under the name unclassified sequences. RNAcentral's name for it is "IS605-orfB-I RNA". It matches the Rfam family "IS605-orfB-I RNA". The record is from Rfam by way of RNAcentral.
GUCCUAUACAGAUGCAUUCAACGCUAGCCAGUUGAGCAUCUCCCUGUAGGACGAAGUUUAUUAGAAGCUCUAGCAACAAUUCUCAUUGUGUGGCUGUGGCUACAGUCGAAAUGAGAUGAAGCAGAGUGGAAUAGGUUAACCGUAAGACCUUGGGUUGAAAAACUCUAAAAUUGAGCUAGAGAUACGGGUUUCCUAAUUUUCUCAUUUUCUAAUUUUCUAGGUACGGUCUU